RNAcentral lists this ribosomal RNA (520 nucleotides) under Bacillus sp. JC117. RNAcentral's name for it is "bacterial SSU rRNA". It matches the Rfam family "Bacterial small subunit ribosomal RNA", at positions 124 to 628 of the family's 1533-position model. The record is from RNAcentral. Lineage: Bacteria; Bacillati; Bacillota; Bacilli; Caryophanales; Bacillaceae.
ACCUGCCUGAAAGUCCGGGAUAACCCCGGGAAACCGGAGCUAAUACCGGAUGAGCCUGUCGACCGCCUGGUCGACGGGGAAAAGCGGGGAUUUUCCUCGCGCUUUCAGAUGGGCCCGCGGCGCAUUAGCUUGUUGGAGAGGUAAAAGCUCCCCAAGGCAACGAUGCGUAGCCAACCUGAGAGGGUGAUCGGCCACACUGGGACUGAGACACGGCCCAGACUCCUACGGGAGGCAGCAGUAGGGAAUCAUCCGCAAUGGGCGAAAGCCUGACGGUGCAACGCCGCGUGAGUGAAGAAGGUUUUCGGAUCGUAAAGCUCUGUUAUCCGAGAAGAACAAGGACUGGUCAAACAGGCCGGUCCCAUGACGGUACCGGAUCAGAAAGCCCCGGCUAACUACGUGCCAGCAGCCGCGGUAAUACGUAGGGGGCAAGCGUUGUCCGGAAUUAUUGGGCGUAAAGGGCGCGCAGGCGGUUUCCUAAGUCUGAUGUGAAAGGCCACGGCUCAACCGUGGAAUGGCAUUG